UCAAAGUUAAGGCCUUAAGAAAUCAGUCUU
Molecule: non-coding RNA, 30 nt
Filed under: Mus musculus (house mouse)
Lineage: Eukaryota; Metazoa; Chordata; Mammalia; Rodentia; Muridae
Source: RNAcentral